RNAcentral lists this microRNA (23 nucleotides) under Gallus gallus (chicken). RNAcentral's name for it is "gga-miR-12293-5p". The record is from miRBase by way of RNAcentral. Lineage: Eukaryota; Metazoa; Chordata; Aves; Galliformes; Phasianidae.
CGCCUCUUGAUCUACUGUUCAGU